RNAcentral lists this ribosomal RNA (207 nucleotides) under uncultured bacterium. RNAcentral's name for it is "partial 16S ribosomal RNA". It matches the Rfam family "Bacterial small subunit ribosomal RNA", at positions 568 to 774 of the family's 1533-position model. The record is from RNAcentral.
CGUGCAGGCGGUUUCGUAAGUCGGACGUGAAAGCUCCUGGCUUAACUGGGAGAGGCCGUUCGAUACUGCGGAACUUGAGGUCGGGAGAGGGACGUGGAAUUCCCGGUGUAGUGGUGGAAUGCGUAGAUAUCGGGAGGAACACCAGUGGCGAAGGCGGCGUCCUGGCCCGCACCUGACGCUGAGACGCGAAAGCGUGGGUAGCGAACG